CCGGCGAGCGGCGAGACGGGUGCANUAAUGCCUGGNGAUCUGCCCAGUCGAGGGGGAUAACAGUUGGAAACGACUGCAUAAUACCGCNUACGCCCUACGGGGGAAAGGAGGGGACCUUCNGGCCUUUCGCGAUUGGAUGAACCCAGGUGGGAUUAGCUANUUGGUGGGGUAAUGGCUCACCAAGGCGACGAUCCCUAGCUGGUCUGAGAGGAUGAUCANCCACACUGGAACUGAGACACGGUCCAGACUCCUACGGGAGGCAUCAGUGGGGAAUAUUGCACAAUGGGGGAAACCCUGAUGCAGCCAUGCCGCGUGUGUGAAGAAGGCCUUCGGGUUGUAAAGNACUUUCAGCGAGGAGGAAAGGUUGGCGCCUAAUACGUGUCAACUGUGACGUUACUCGCAGAANAAGCACCGGCUAACUCCGUGCCAGCAGCCGCGGUAAUACGGAGGGUGCAAGCGUUAAUCGGAAUUACUGGGCGUAAAGCGCACGCAGGCGGUUGGAUAAGUUAGAUGUGAAAGCCCCGGGCUCAACCUGGGAAUUGCAUUUAAAACUGUCCAGCUAGAGUCUUGUAGAGGGGGGGUAGAAUUCCAGGUGUAGCGGUGAAAUGCGUAAAGAUCUGGGAGGAAUACCGGGUGGCGAAGGCGGNCCCCCCUGGACAAANACUGGANNCUCAGGUGCGAAAACGUGGGGGANCAAACNNGGAUUANAUACCCUGGUAGUCCNCNCCCNUAAACGGAUGUCGAUUUGG
Molecule: ribosomal RNA, 749 nt
Filed under: Aeromonas sp.
Lineage: Bacteria; Pseudomonadati; Pseudomonadota; Gammaproteobacteria; Aeromonadales; Aeromonadaceae
Description: partial 16S ribosomal RNA
Rfam family: Bacterial small subunit ribosomal RNA
Source: RNAcentral